ACAAAGUAGCUCCGUGACAAAACCAAGACAUAUGUAUAGAAGACUUGACGAGGACGUCAAGGGUUUAAGUGGGGGAGGGUGUCACGGACCAAGCUUCUGGAAAAUACCACGGACGUCUAGAGAACUCUGGAAUGAUCAAGUAUACUCGAGAAAUCUCCGGAGAGAUCAAGAAUGCUCUACGAGACCCUGGAAGGUGCCAGAAUAUUAUAGAUGCCCGUGGAAUAAAGGAGAACGAUCCGGAAUAAAUAAAGAAGGCACUAGACGAAACUAGAACGACACGGAAGACUUUGGAAGGAUCUAGAACACGCUAGAUCAUACAAGAACGAUUUGGAUAAUGUCGGGAAGACUUAGAGAUUUCUAGAGCAUCAUAUACAAGUUUACAAUAUUCUAGAGUCUUGUAAAAUCCAUGUAUAUAAUAGGAAGAGUCUAGAUUAGUCAUCAAUGAUCGGGACCUAGAAACUUCCAUUUGAGGAGGUGUAAGGUUCCUAUAAAUAGGGGGAGGACUCAUUUGUCGAAUCCAUCAAGAAGUUGCCUUGUAAAGAAGUUUCGAGUUAUAUAAUAGAAGCUUUCUUGAAGUGUCCCUUGUCGUAACUCUUGCUUCCUAAGUUCGUUAGUACAUCUAGAUCGUCGGAGUUAGCCUGACUUAGUCGGAGAAGUACUAAGUGGCACACGGUAUUGAGUAGUCUAAAAGAGUCAUCCCGUGACACGUGGUAUCAGAGCCAGGUUCGUACAAGCAAGAGAUCAUGACUACGGAAGCAGGAAGUAGUGAAGUCGCAAACGUGCCCCCUGUCGUCGAGGAGAAAGGAAGAAAGUCCAGGAAGAGGGACCAAUCGAUAGAUGCCUUGGCAAGCUUAGAGAACAAGCUUACAAGGACGGAGAUUAACGUCGGUGAGAUCCUUGAAUGGAAGGAUACCGUCGAUCAGUUCGUUGCCGAGAUAAGUGACACGAGCGAUGGAUUGAAGGAGACCAUCGGUUUCAUCAAGGAAGAAGUCCUUGGACUUAUUAACACUCUGCGGAGCGAGUUCCGUGAGAAGGUAGACGCAUUACAAGCCGAAGUAAACCUGUGCAAGGCAGCAAUCACUGGAGGGACCAUUGCAAGAACAUUUCCGCACACAGAAGCACCCAGACCAUUGAAGUAUGGAGGUAAACGUGACCCCAAAGAACUCGACGAAUUCUUUUGAUCGAUGGAAUGCUACUUCAAUGCUAGUCAAGUGAAGGACGACAAGACGAAGGUAGAUACAACCGUACUUUAUCUAUGCGAGAGUGCAACUCUAUGGUGGCGAAGGAAGCAUGGUGAUAUUGAAAAAGGAUUAUAUACCAUAGACACAUGGGAAGAAUUCAAGAGGCAACUCAAGAGACAAUUCUGCCCACACAAUGCUGAAGACAUAGCGAUGAAGAAACUUCGUGGGCUAAAGCAUACGGGAUCCAUCCGAGACUAUAUAGUCGAGUUCACGAGCUUGAUGCUAGAGUUACCCGACAUGCAGGAGAAGGACAAACUUUUUUAUUUCAUGGAUGGACUACAAUCUUGGUCCUACAACGAGCUCAAGAGGAGAAAUUUCAAAGACAUUGACGAAGUUAUUGCCAUGGCAGAAGAUCUAAUGGAAUUUUGAAAAGACAGCACGGUUAAGAAGAAUAGUGGGGGAGAACAAACUAUGAUGGAACUGGAACCAAAACAAAACACAUCCCAACCUUUAAAUACGAAAGGAAAAGAAAUCGAAGGAAGAAACCGAAGAGAAGAGAGAAAGGAGAUCAAGUGCUACUUGUGUGAUGGUCCUCACUUGAUCCGAGACUGUCCGAAGAAAAAGACCUUCUAUGCGAUGGUUUUGCAAGAAGAAGAAGACGAAGCACAAAUAAGCUCAAUGCGCUUUCUGAACUCAGUAUCGAAAGAUGAGAUAAAAUCUUCUAAGAAGGUAGAAAAUAAAGGAGCAUGUUCGUCGAAGUUAAAGUGAAUGCCAGGAACACUAAGGCGCUAAUAGAUUCCGGAGCAACGCAUAGUUUCAUCGUAGAGGAAGAAGCUAAGAAGUUGGGUAUUCACUAUACAAAGGAGUUAGUUCAGUUGAAAGUUGUCAACUCUCCAUCCAAUCCGAUCCUCGGAGUUUCUCGUGGAAUACCCAUGAAGAUUGCAGAAUGGAAAGGGACCAUCGACUUGAUAGUGGUUCCGAUGGACGACUAUCGCAUGGUAUUAGGAAUGGACUUCCUAGAUAUGGUAUGUCCUUGGUCGUUUGAAAGAGACAACACCAUGCGUAUAACCAAGGGAUCAACUAUCCAUAUAAUUCCCUUGGAAAGAAGCAAGAAAAAAGCUCGAACCCUUUCAACUAUGAAGUUUCAAAAAGGCCCCGAGAGAAAAGGAAGUAUGCACAUGUGUUAUUGCCAGUGUAAUAUGAUCAAGAAGAAUAUGAAGCCAAAAAGGGAAAAUCAAGUAAAUAAGGCAUACAUGAAGGAGCACGGAUCCAUAACCCCUUGAAAAUUUACUCAAGAAGUUAUGAGGCUGAGAGAAGAAGUAUGAUUCAAGGUACGUUGAGAAAUAAAAGCACACCCUACUCGAAGAAAUACUUUGGAGAAAAAGAAAAGACACAAAGUAGCUCCGUGACAAAACCAAGACAUAUGUAUAGAAGACUUGACGAGGACGUCAAGGGUUUAAGUGGGGGAGGGUGUCACGGACCAAGCUUCUGGAAAAUACCACGGACGUCUAGAGAACUCUGGAAUGAUCAAGUAUACUCGAGAAAUCUCCGGAGAGAUCAAGAAUGCUCUACGAGACCCUGGAAGGUGCCAGAAUAUUAUAGAUGCCCGUGGAAUAAAGGAGAACGAUCCGGAAUAAAUAAAGAAGGCACUAGACGAAACUAGAACGACACGGAAGACUUUGGAAGGAUCUAGAACACGCUAGAUCAUACAAGAACG
This 2898-nucleotide long non-coding RNA is filed under the name Lactuca sativa (garden lettuce). RNAcentral describes it as "long non-coding RNA (LSAT_LNC000704)". Lineage: Eukaryota; Viridiplantae; Streptophyta; Magnoliopsida; Asterales; Asteraceae. The record is from RNAcentral.